UUGUGAACUCGACGAGUAGGGCGGGACACGUGUUAUCCUGUCUGAAUAUGGGGGGACCAUCCUCCAAGGCUAAAUACUCCUGAUUGACCGAUAGUGAACCAGUACCGUGAGGGAAAGGCGAAAAGAACCCCGGCGAGGGGAGUGAAAAAGAACCUGAAACCGUGUACGUACAAGCAGUAGGAGCCUCUUUAUGGGGUGACUGCGUACCUUUUGUAUAAUGGGUCAGCGACUUAUAUUCUGUAGCAAGGUUAACCGUAUAGGGGAGCCGUAGGGAAACCGAGUCUUAACUGGGCGAAUGAGUUGCAGGGUAUAGACCCGAAACCCGGUGAUCUAUCCAUGGGCAGGUUGAAGGUUGGGUAACACUAACUGGAGGACCGAACCGACUAAUGUUGAAAAAUUAGCGGAUGACUUGUGGAUGGGGGUGAAAGGCCAAUCAAACCGGGAGAUAGCUGGUUCUCCCCGAAAGCUAUUUAGGUAGCGCCUCGUGAACUCAUCUUCGGGGGUAGAGCACUGUUUCGACUAGGGGGUCAUCCCGACUUACCAACUCGAUGCAAACUGCGAAUACCGAAGAAUGUUAUCACGGGAGACACACGGCGGGUGCUAACGUCCGUCGUGAAGAGGGAAACAACCCAGACCGCCAGCUAAGGUCCCAAAGUCAUGGUUAAGUGGGAAACGAAGUGGGAAGGCUCAGACAGCCAGGAUGUUGGCUUAGAAGCAGCCAUCAUUUAAAGAAAGCGUAAUAGCUCACUGGUCGAGUCGGCCCGCGCGGAAGAUGUAACGGGGCUAAACCAUGCACCGAAGCUGCGGCAGCGACACUAAGUGUUGUUGGGUAGGGGAGCGUUCUGUAAGCCUGCGAAGGUGUACUGUGAGGUAUGCUGGAGGUAUCAGAAGUGCGAAUGCUGACAUAAGUAACGAUAAUGCGGGUGAAAAACCCGCACGCCGGAAGACCAAGGGUUCCUGUCCAACGUUAAUCGGGGCAGGGUGAGUCGACCCCUAAGGCGAGGCUGAAAAGCGUAGUCGAUGGGAAACGGGUUAAUAUUCCCGUACUGGUGGUAACUGCGAUGGGGGAACGGAGAAGGCUAGGUUGUCCGGGCGACGGUCGUCCCGGUUCAAGCAUGUAGGCAGAGUGAUUAGGCAAAUCCGGUCACUUAAUGCUGAGGUGUGAUGACGAGCCACUAAGGUGGUGAAGCAAUUGAUGCCCUGCUUCCAGGAAAAGCCUCUAAGCUUCAGGUUACCAACAAUCGUACCCCAAACCGACACAGGUGGUCAGGUAGAGAAUACUCAGGCGCUUGAGAGAACUCGGGUGAAGGAACUAGGCAAAAUGGUGCCGUAACUUCGGGAGAAGGCACGCUGGCGGUAAGUGAAGUCCCUCGCGGACGGAGCCGAAGCCAGUCGAAGAUACCAGCUGGCUGCAACUGUUUAUUAAAAACACAGCACUGUGCAAACACGAAAGUGGACGUAUACGGUGUGACGCCUGCCCGGUGCUGGAAGGUUAAUUGAUGGGGUUAUCCUUAGGGAGAAGCUCUUGAUCGAAGCCCCAGUAAACGGCGGCCGUAACUAUAACGGUCCUAAGGUAGCGAAAUUCCUUGUCGGGUAAGUUCCGACCUGCACGAAUGGCGUAAUGAUGGCCAGGCUGUCUCCACCCGAGACUCAGUGAAAUUGAACUCGCUGUGAAGAUGCAGUGUACCCGCGGCAAGACGGAAAGACCCCGUGAACCUUUACUAUAGCUUGACACUGAACAUUGAGCCUUGAUGUGUAGGAUAGGUGGGAGACUAAGAAGUGUGGACGCCAGUCUGCAUGGAGUCAACCUUGAAAUACCACCCUUUAACGUUUGAUGUUCUAACCUAGGUCCAUAAUCUGGAUCGGGGACCGUGUCUGGUGGGUAGUUUGACUGGGGCGGUCUCCUCCUAAAGAGUAACGGAGGAGCACGAAGGUUGGCUAAGCAUGGUCGGACAUCAUGCGGUUAGUGCAAAGGCAUAAGCCAGCUUGACUGUGAGAGUGACGGCUCGAGCAGGUACGAAAGUAGGUCUUAGUGAUCCGGUGGUUCUGAAUGGAAGGGCCAUCGCUCAACGGAUAAAAGGUACUCCGGGGAUAACAGGCUGAUACCGCCCAAGAGUUCAUAUCGACGGCGGUGUUUGGCACCUCGAUGUCGGCUCAUCACAUCCUGGGGCUGAAGUAGGUCCCAAGGGUAUGGCUGUUCGCCAUUUAAAGUGGUACGCGAGCUGGGUUUAGAACGUCGUGAGACAGUUCGGUCCCUAUCUGCCGUGGGCGUUGGAAGAUUGAGAGGGGUUGCUCCUAGUACGAGAGGACCGGAGUGAACGCACCACUGGUGUUCGGGUUGUCAUGCCAAUGGCAUUGCCCGGUAGCUAAGUGCGGAAGAGAUAACCGCUGAAAGCAUCUAAGCGGGAAACUUGCCUCGAGAUGAGUCUUCCCUGUCACCUAGAGUGACCUAAAGGAACGUUUAAGACUAAGACGUUGAUAGGCUGGGUGUGUAAGCGUAGCGAUACGUUGAGCUAACCAGUACUAAUGAACCGUGAGGCUUAACCUG
This 2548-nucleotide ribosomal RNA is filed under the name Proteus mirabilis. RNAcentral's name for it is "partial 23S ribosomal RNA". It matches the Rfam family "Bacterial large subunit ribosomal RNA", at positions 397 to 2925 of the family's 2925-position model. Lineage: Bacteria; Pseudomonadati; Pseudomonadota; Gammaproteobacteria; Enterobacterales; Morganellaceae. The record is from RNAcentral.